UGGGCCUACGGGAGGCAGCAGUGAGGAAUAUUGGUCAAUGGGCGGAAGCCUGAACCAGCCAAGUCGCGUGAGGGAAGAAGGCCCUGCGGGUCGCAGACCUCUUUGGACGGGGAGCAAGGCCGCCGACGUGUCGGCGGAAGGAGAGUACCCGUAGAACAAGCAUCGGCUAACUCCGUGCCAGCAGCCGCGGUAAUACGGAGGAUGCGAGCGUUAUCCGGAUUUAUUGGGUUUAAAGGGUGCGUAGGCGGGCUUUUAAGUCAGCGGUAAAAAUUCGGGGCUCAACCCCGUCCGGCAGUUGAAACUGG
RNAcentral lists this ribosomal RNA (305 nucleotides) under uncultured bacterium. RNAcentral's name for it is "bacterial SSU rRNA". It matches the Rfam family "Bacterial small subunit ribosomal RNA", at positions 334 to 636 of the family's 1533-position model. The record is from RNAcentral.